GCAAACUUGGUCAUUUAGAGGAAGUAAAAGUCGUAACAAGGUUUCCGUAGGUGAACCUGCGGAAGGAUCAUUACCGAGUUGGGGUCCUCUGGGCCCGAUCUCCAACCCUUUGUUUAACUACCGUGUUGCUUUGGCAGACCAGCCAUUUGGCGGUCAGAAGCUCUAUCGCUUAACGGCGAUGGUGUUCCUGAUUUGCGUCUGCCAGUAGCCCAAUUUAACUCAUUUAUCGAAAUAGCCGUCUGAAUCAUAGAUUGAAUAAACAAAACUUUCAACAACGGAUCUCUUGGUUCUGGCAUCGAUGAAGAACGCAGC
Molecule: unclassified non-coding RNA, 312 nt
Filed under: uncultured fungus
Lineage: Eukaryota; Fungi
Description: partial contains small subunit ribosomal RNA, internal transcribed spacer 1, and 5.8S ribosomal RNA
Rfam family: Eukaryotic small subunit ribosomal RNA (bases 1-73)
Source: RNAcentral